Molecule: ribosomal RNA, 253 nt
Filed under: uncultured bacterium
Lineage: Bacteria
Description: partial 16S ribosomal RNA
Rfam family: Bacterial small subunit ribosomal RNA
Source: RNAcentral
UACGGGGGGGGCAAGCGUUGUUCGGAAUUACUGGGCGUAAAGGGCUCGUAGGCGGCCAACUAAGUCGGAUGUGAAAUCCCCAGGCUUAACCUGGGAACUGCAUCCGAUACUGGAUGGCUUGAAUUCGGGAGAGGGAUGCAGAAUUCCAGGUGUAGCGGUGAAAUGCGUAGAUAUCUGGAGGAAUACCGGUGGCGAAGGCGGCAUCCUGGACCGACAUUGACGCUGAGGAGCGAAGGCUAGGGGAGCAAACGGG